UACGGAGGAUGCAAGCGUUAUCCGGAAUGAUUGGGCGUAAAGCGUCCGCAGGUGGCUAUGUAAGUCUGCUGUUAAAGAGUGAGGCUCAACCUCAUAAAAGCAGUGGAAACUACAUGGCUAGAGUGCGUUCGGGGCAGAGGGAAUUCCUGGUGUAGCGGUGAAAUGCGUAGAUAUCAGGAAGAACACCGGUGGCGAAAGCGUUCUGCUAGACCUGUACUGACACUGAGGGACGAAAGCUAGGGGAGCGAAUGGG
RNAcentral lists this ribosomal RNA (253 nucleotides) under uncultured bacterium. Its description in RNAcentral is "partial 16S ribosomal RNA". It matches the Rfam family "Bacterial small subunit ribosomal RNA", at positions 524 to 776 of the family's 1533-position model. The record is from RNAcentral.